AGAGUUUGAUUCUGGCUCAGAACGAACGCUGGCAGCGUGGAUUAGGCAUGCAAGUCGAACGGGAUCGGUAAUCGUAGCAAUACGAUUGCCGUGAGAGUGGCGGAAGGGCGAGUAAGACAUGGGUAAUUUGCCCUCAAGCUAGGGAUAACCCCGCGAAAGUGGAGCUAAUACCGAAUGCGGCUCCCCGAGGCAUCUCGGGGCGUCCAAAGGUGGGGAUCUCGCGCAAGCGAGACCUGCCGCUUGAGGAUGAGCCCGUGUGCCAUCAGCUUGUUGGUGAGGUAACGGCUUACCAAGGCUUACGGCUAGCUGGUCUGAGAGGACGACCAGCCGCACUGGGACUGAGACACUGCCCAGACUCCUACGGGAGGCUGCAGUCGAGAAUCAUUCGCAAUGGUCGAAAGCCUGACGAUGCGACGCUGCGUGGAGGACGAAGGCCCUCGGGUCGUAAACUCCUGUCAUGCGGGAAAAAGGUGUCCGGUGUAAAUAGCGCCGGACCUCGAUGGUACCGCAAGAGGAAGCCACGGCCAACUCUGUGCCAGCAGCCGCGGUAAGACAGAGGUGGCGAGCGUUGUUCGGAUUUACUGGGCGUAAAGAGUGCGUAGGCGGUACCGUGUGUCGAGUGUGAAAUCCCUGGGCUCAACCCAGGAAGUGCGCUCGAAACUGCGGUCCUUGAGCACAGGAAGGGAGAGCGGAAUUCACGGUGUAGCGGUGAUAUGCGUUGAUAUCGUGAAGAACACCGGUGGCGAAGGCGGCUCUCUGGAAUGUUGCUGACGCUGAGGCACGAAAGUUGGGGGAGCAAACAGGAUUAGAUACCCUGGUAGUCCCAACCGUAAACGGUGCGCACUGGGCGUGGGGAGAUUUCACCCUCUCCGUGCCGCAGCUAACGCGUUAAGUGCGCCGCCUGGGGAGUACGGCCGCAAGGCUGAAACUCAAAGAAAUUGACGGGGGCCCGCACAAGCGGAGGAGCAUGUGGCUUAAUUCGAUGCAACGCGAAGAACCUUACCUGGGUUUGACAUGCAGCUGCACGUCCCAUGAAAGUGGGAUUCCUUCGAGGGUGCUGCACAGGUGCUGCAUGGCUGUCGUCAGUUCGUGCCGUGAGGUGUUUGGUUAAGUCCAGCAACGAACGCAACCCCUGUGCUUAGUUGCCAUCGGGUAAUGCCGGUAACUCUAAGCAGACUGCCUGUAUACACAGGAGGAAGGUGGGGACGACGUCAAGUCAGUAUGGCCCUUACACCCAGGGCUGCACACGUGCUACAAUGGUCGGUACAAUGGGACGCAAGACCGCGAGGUGGAGCAAAUCCCCAGAGCCGACCUCAGUUCAGAUUGCAGUCUGAAACUCGACUGCAUGAAGUUGGAUUCGCUAGUAACGGCGCAUCAGCUACGGCGCCGUGAAUACGUUCCCGGGCCUUGUACACACCGCCCGUCACAUCAUGAAAGCCGUCUGCACCCAAAGCCGCCGUUUCAACCCGCAAGGGAGAUAGGCGUCCAAGGUGUGGGUGGUGAUUGGGAUGAAGUCGAAACAAGGUA
Molecule: ribosomal RNA, 1527 nt
Filed under: metagenome
Description: bacterial SSU rRNA
Rfam family: Bacterial small subunit ribosomal RNA
Source: RNAcentral